AGAUCUGGAGGUUCAGAAGUCUGACAUCAGAAUGUCUGGGCUGAAAUCAAGGCGUUGGCAAGGCGGUGCUCCCUCCAAGGCUCUAGGAGAGAAUCUUUUUCUUGCCUUUUCUGGUGUCUAGUGGCUGCCAGCAUUACCUGGCUUGUGGCCACAUCAGUCCAAUUUUCAAGCUGGAGGCAAAGGAUGCCAAGAUGGGAAAGCCACAUAAUGGAAGGAUCCUGGAUUUCAGAGCUGUCACUUGGAGGAGGGGCACCCAGUGAAGGUGUCUUAUCUAACCCACACCAUAUCUUCAUGAAGUGGCCAUAUGGAUUUGAUCCCUAUCCUUCAGAGGUGCUCAGCCUAAGGGAACACGGAUAGUAGAUUAAGCACUGACCAGCCUUUCUCUUUACUCAUUGGACUCAGAGCCAGCCUUGACAAUGUGCUGAUGGCAACCUAGAACAUAAGCAGAGGAGUAUACAGGACAAGAACUUGAUGGUCUCGGGAA
Homo sapiens (human) is the source of this 484-nucleotide long non-coding RNA. Ensembl annotates it as PROX1 antisense RNA 1. Its record names the gene PROX1-AS1. Lineage: Eukaryota; Metazoa; Chordata; Mammalia; Primates; Hominidae. The record is from Ensembl.